RNAcentral lists this transfer RNA (71 nucleotides) under Zoroaster ophiactis. RNAcentral's name for it is "tRNA-Ala". It matches the Rfam family "tRNA". From Rfam's summary of the family: Transfer RNA (tRNA) molecules are approximately 80 nucleotides in length. Their secondary structure includes four short double-helical elements and three loops (D, anti-codon, and T loops). Lineage: Eukaryota; Metazoa; Echinodermata; Asteroidea; Forcipulatida; Zoroasteridae. The record is from RNAcentral.
GUGAAUUUAGUUUAACAAAUAAAACAUUUACCUUGCAAGUAAAAAACACAAGUUUAAUCCCUGUAAUACAC